Molecule: non-coding RNA, 228 nt
Filed under: Bacteroidota bacterium
Lineage: Bacteria; Pseudomonadati; Bacteroidota
Source: RNAcentral
UUACCUUUGAUCAGUUUUGGUGUUGCAAUGAUAUGAAUUCGUUGCAAUGAAAAGGGAAUGCGGUUUGAAUCCGCGACAGUACCCGCUGCUGUGAUGCCCGGUCACGCUUUGCGUGAUGAUGGUCUUAAGAAAUACCUGCCACUGUCCCGCUUUUGAGACAAAAACAGGAUGGGAAGGCUUCUUAAGACCGGGAUAAGUCAGAAGACCUGCCAGACAAUUAUAUGUUCA